Molecule: ribosomal RNA, 440 nt
Filed under: uncultured bacterium
Lineage: Bacteria
Description: partial 16S ribosomal RNA
Rfam family: Bacterial small subunit ribosomal RNA
Source: RNAcentral
CUACGGGGGGCACCAGUGGGGAAUCUUGCGCAAUGGGCGAAAGCCUGACGCAGCAAUGCCGCGUGAGUGAAGAAGGCCUUCGGGUCGUAAAGCUCUUUAUCUCAGGGAAGAUGAUGACGGUACCUGAGGAAUAAGCACCGGCUAACUACGUGCCAGCAGCCGCGGUAAUACGUAGGGUGCGAGCGUUGUUCGGAAUUACUGGGCGUAAAGGGCGUGUAGGCGGAACUAUAAGCUAGGGGUGAAAUCCCGGGGCUCAACCCCGGAUGUGCUCUUAGAACUGUAGAUCUAGAGAGGGUCAGAGGCUAGCAGAAUUCCUGGUGUAGAGGUGAAAUUCGUAGAUAUCAGGAGGAAUACCGGUGGCGAAAGCGGCUGGCUGGGGCCACUCUGACGCUGAGGCGCGAAAGCGUGGGGAGCAAACAGGAUUAGAUACCCGCGUAGUC